RNAcentral lists this long non-coding RNA (1250 nucleotides) under Marmota monax (woodchuck). Lineage: Eukaryota; Metazoa; Chordata; Mammalia; Rodentia; Sciuridae. The record is from RNAcentral.
GGAAAUUCAGAACUUAGGACUUGAGGGCAGGGGAAUGCUGAGGCCAAGGCCAUCCCCCUCACCUCUCUAGGGCCCAGGUAAUUCCACAGCCAAGAGGCAGAGCCCGUGCAAGGCCUAGGCUGGCCCUGAGAGCCUGUCCUGCACCCUCUGUGAGAAGGCUGGGUGCUGUCUGGGACUGCAAGGCCAUGGGUGCGCCCCUCUCUUCUUCGUCUCCCUUCCCCCAGCCUGGGGUGCGUCACAAGGGUGUUUUUCUAGACUCAGCUGGAACAAGGUCAUCUGGGCUUUGGAGGGGAAGAGCUGCAAGUGCCCUAGGUCAGUGCUCCCAGGGACUUGGCCAGAAAGCACAGGGUGGGGGUGGGGGUGGGGUGGAACACAGGGAACCCUGGGAGCCCUCAAGAAUCCCAGGGCUGCUCUCAGCCAGAGGGUCUCCCAGGGACCACAAAGCCCAUCUCUGCCUCCAUGCCAGAGAGAUCCCAACCCAUCCCAGGAAGAAAGCCAGAUGUUCUAAAGACCCACCCUUUCACACAGUGGCUGUUGGUUUGGUCUACACAAUCUUCCCCAUUUCUAAUCUGAAUCUUUUUUUUUUUUUUUUGGAUACCUGGGAUUGAACUCAGGGGCACUGGGCCACGGAGCCACAUCCGCAGCCCUAUUUUGAAUUUUAUUUAAACACACUUUCACUGAGUUGCUUACACCUGGUUUUUGCAGAGGCUGGCUUUGAACUCUCAAUCCUCCUGCCUCAGCCUUCCAAGCCGCUGGGAUUCCAGGCGUGUGCCACUGUGCCUGGCUCUAACCUGAAUCUUUUCUGCAAAUCUGAUAGACACCUUUAGGUUCCAGGAAUUAUUCAUGAUAUCCAGGAAGCAGUUUGUUUUUCCUCUUGUGAAUGAGCCAAAUUUGGGGAAGAGUCUAAGCUGCUGGUCUCCAGCCUCGCGGCCCCCAGCCCUCCUCCCCACCCAGCCACAUGGGAAAAUGCCCCGUUAGCCCUUCCAGUCAUGUGAAUGAGGCCACGAUUCAAAGGCAGUGGGCAAGAAGGAGGCCACAUAGAGCAGCCCGAAAGAACCAGCCCUUUGUGCUAGGCUGGGGUCCUUGGGGGAUGAGUGCAUGUUUGGCGUAUUUAGAAAGAUUUCUUUUUUAUAUAAUGAGCAGAGAGGAGGAAAGGGGAGGGCGAGACAGAGAGGCCAAAGGCAGGACUUGGGAAAAGAAGCAAGAGCUGGGGUGAGAGCUGCAAGAGCCACUAGAAGAGCAAAGGGAGG